This 77-nucleotide transfer RNA is filed under the name Candidatus Pacebacteria bacterium CG10_big_fil_rev_8_21_14_0_10_42_12. RNAcentral's name for it is "tRNA-Val". It matches the Rfam family "tRNA". From Rfam's summary of the family: Transfer RNA (tRNA) molecules are approximately 80 nucleotides in length. Their secondary structure includes four short double-helical elements and three loops (D, anti-codon, and T loops). The record is from RNAcentral. Lineage: Bacteria; Bacillati; Minisyncoccota.
GGACGCUUAGCUCAGUUGGUUAGAGCACCGCGUUUACAUCGCGGGUGUCGGGGGUUCGAGUCCCUCAGCGUCCACCC